Molecule: ribosomal RNA, 429 nt
Filed under: Fusobacteriota bacterium
Lineage: Bacteria; Fusobacteriati; Fusobacteriota
Description: Fusobacteria bacterium partial 16S ribosomal RNA
Rfam family: Bacterial small subunit ribosomal RNA
Source: RNAcentral
UGGGGAAUAUUGCGCAAUGGGCGAAAGCCUGACGCAGCGACGCCGCGUGAGGGAUGAAGGUUUUCGGAUCGUAAACCUCUGUCAGAAGGGAAGAAACCGCACUGUGCUAAUCAGCAGUGCCUUGACGGUACCUUCAAAGGAAGCACCGGCUAACUCCGUGCCAGCAGCCGCGGUAAUACGGAGGGUGCAAGCGUUAAUCGGAAUUACUGGGCGUAAAGCGCACGUAGGCUGCUUUGUAAGUCAGGGGUGAAAUCCCACGGCUCAACCGUGGAACUGCCUUUGAUACUGCUUAGCUUGAAUCCGGGAGAGGGUGGCGGAAUUCCAGGUGUAGAAGUGAAAUCCGUAGAUAUCUGGGGGAACAUCAGUGGCGAAGGCGGCCACCUGGACCGGUAUUGACGCUGAGGUGCGAAAGCGUGGGGAGCAAACAGG